CACAGACUGUCAUCUGGAAGAGGCUAAGUGGAACCCUGGAGCUGUCAUUAUCUCUGCUGACCCGGACUAAAUCCAGGCUCACUUGAGCUGGUAACAUCUUUGACAUUCUCAAGCCCUGGAAAUGACAACUUCCUUCCUUCAGCAAUGGGCAGAGGCAAGAAUCAGAACCAGUGCGUCUUGGCUAGAAAAGUUUGGAUAAAUGCCAUAGGAGACCACUUUCUUCUUUCCAGUUCAAGAGCAGGGGUAUGACUCAUUUCCAGGCUCCCUGAUAGGAGGCAGAAUAGUCUGGAAGCUGAGCAAAACCUGCGUGGUGUCUCCUGGCCAGGGCUAGCACUCAGCUCUGCCCCUAGAAACCCCAGCACCAGUUCAGGGGCAUCGGUAGCAUUGAGAAACCCAAAUCCUGCCUGUCUCAUUCUCUUUGAGUCAUUGGCUCUGUUACCUCAGGGGCCUGAUGUUUAGCCAUGUGGACACACACCUGUUUUUGCAAGGCAGUGUGGUGAGGUGGAAAGAGAACCAACAUGGGGUCAGGUCAACAUGGCUUCCAGGUCCGCUUGAUAUGCUGCACUCCCUUCUCUCUGGGCCUGUUUCUUCACCUAUAGGUAGCAGUACAGGUUUUCAUCCUCUCUCCAUAUAUUUCCUGCAUCUGUACUCCUUGUAGUGAAGUUAGCAGAAAAUAUCCUGUGAUGAGGUCACUCAAAGUCAGGUAGGAGAAAGUAUAGUUUAGCAUUAUUAGGUACUGCAGACAUUCUAGCAAAGCUUAAUUUUUAUGGUGCAAACGGCCUGAUUUUGUUUUAUAUGUGUGUCUCCAAAGGCUCUUGCCUCUUGUACUAUGUUAAAUAUGUGUCCCUCAAAAUACAUAUCUACCUGGAACUUUAGAAUGUGAUUUUAUUUAGAAAGUAUUUGCAGAUGUAAUUAGUUAGAUGUAGUAUAAACUUAAGAUAGGUUUAUAUUAGAUUAGGGUGGACACUAAAUCUAAUGACUGGUUUCCUUAUAAGUAGAGGAGAGGGGACAUACAAACGCACACACAGACACACACACACAGACACACACAGGCACACAUACACACACACACACACACACUCACAGAGGGAAGAUGUUAUGUGAAGACCAAGGCAGAGAUGGGAGUGAUGUAGCUAUAAGCCAAGAAACACCAAGGAUUGCCAGGAGCCACCGGAAGCUAGGGAGAGGCAAGGGAGGAUGCUUCCCUAGAACCUUCAGAGGGUGCAUAGCCCUGCUGACAUUUUGAUUUCAGACAUCUAGGCUUCUGAGUUGUGACAGAAUACAUUUCUAUUGUUUUAAGUCACCCAGUUUGUGGUAAUCUGUUAUGGCAGCCCUAGAAAACAAAUACACCGUUUCUCUUCUGCUCUCGUGAUCCAGAUACCAUAUCCUGCAAAAGAACCAGAUGUGUUUGAAAAUUAAGUGACACUUCGUAGUCACAAAGAUGAAGCAGAAAUUAUUUGGGGUUGGGAGGGGGCAUUGAGGAAAGGAGCUUAAAAAGACCAAGGGAAAAGAGUGGUGCAAAAAUUGAGUAUGUGCAAAGCGAGGGAGGUGGCCACAUGGAGUUCUCGGAGCUGGUAGGACCAUGGCCUCAUACCCAAGAACAGAGUUGGGGGCAUAGCUUGAAGAUGUUAUGGAGGCACAUACAGACUCCUGGAAUCCUGUAAGCUCUCUAUGAGUUAUUAUUCCACUGAUUAAGCCCUAAGGAUAAGACCACAUUCAAUAGUUUCCAGAUUUCACUCUCUCUCUCUCUAUCUCUCUCUGUCUAUCUCCAUACUAGCAAACAAUAAAAUGGCUUUGUUGCAGAAAAUGUUACCCAUUCCUUCCCCCAUGGAGGGUUUUGUGCUGAGGCUACAUGUGAAGUGAGGUGGGGGAUGUUAAACACAGUUUGGAGGAUGAAGCCUGCUUCCUCCUUUGGGCUGUCACUGGAGAAUCCACAUUGGUGGCUAGCAUGGUUUGGCUCUGUGUCCUCACCCAAAUCUCAUGUGGAAUUGUAAUCCCUAUGUGUUGAGGGAGGGGCUGGGUGGGAGGUAAUUGAAUCACGAGGGCAGACUUCCCCCUUGCUGUCUUCAUGAUAGUGAGUGAGUUCUCAUGAGAUCUGGCUGUUUGAAAGGGUGUAGCACUUCCCCCUGUGCUCUCUCUCUCUCCUGCUCUGCCAUAGUAAGGCAUGCUUGCUUCCCCUUUGCCUUCCGCCAUGGUUGUAAGUUUCUGGAGGCUUCCCAGUCUUGCUUCCUGUUAAGUCUG
This 2241-nucleotide long non-coding RNA is filed under the name Homo sapiens (human). Its description in RNAcentral is "HSALNT0154805". Lineage: Eukaryota; Metazoa; Chordata; Mammalia; Primates; Hominidae. The record is from RNAcentral.